Molecule: long non-coding RNA, 1094 nt
Organism: Neofelis nebulosa (Clouded leopard)
Lineage: Eukaryota; Metazoa; Chordata; Mammalia; Carnivora; Felidae
Exons: 3
Source: RefSeq, a predicted model, not a curated record
GGUCAUGACCUCUGAUUAUUGGAGAUGUCCCCCGCUCUGGACUAGCUCUGCCCGGGGCCAGCUUUCUGCUGGAAGGCUGGGCCUUACGGACCCCGGCGUGUCUCCUAAUCCCUUGAUUCUAAAGCGAUCACUGUGGCCAAAAUGCCCCGGAGAGCAAACGUAAUGAGAAAGGAGGCUUUGAACAAAAUUGCUACCAAGAGAUCAAGCGAACUCAGUUUGGGAGGUUUUCUAGUGGCGGGCGGCAGGCGGCUUACCUCCGAUGAUGAAAGCGGCCGGGGCCCCAGCCAGCACCUCGGGUCUGGGCCGUAAAUCCCGGCUUCUGUCGUUUGCAUUCAUUCUUGUAAAACCUCAGCCUCAGAAGGACAGCGGGAACCACAAUAGCUCGGCGAGGAUGUGAGCAAUGAUAUUAGGGAUGAAAAGGAUACAGUCCCGGUCUGUGAGGGACCGGGGUGGGCAGGGAACAGAAUGCCCGGAAUACAAAAGCGUCAGCAGAGCUCGGGGCCAGGCGCAGACGUGUGAUGGGAGAGACCACAUCCCAUUGCACCGAGACAUCUUAAUCCGAGCUCAUUUCUCUCCUGCAGACUAGAGCCUGGACCGUGCCCCACACGUGUCCUGGGUCUCCCUGGCGCCUCUGACCUGCGGCCCCUUCCAGACGGCUGGAGACUUCUCCCCCAGGGACACCUGCGGGUGUGAACAGUCCAUUUCAGGUCUCGACGGCUUUCGGGGUCCCUGGCUGCUCCUGGGGAGUUGCUCUGCCUUCUGCCUCGGUCGUCCGGCCUGCGCCGGCUGGGAGCCUCUGCAAAGCUAAGUUACCCGCCUUUUGUUGCGACGCGGGCCCCGGAGGACUGAAAUCAAACGCGUGGCUUCUGUGGAGGGAGAGGGAGAGAGGCGGCUAAUGAGCGGCUGUGCACAUCCCAAGUCCUGGGGGUUAAUUCCCAAAGAGCCGGAUCAGAAACAUGCCUAAAAGCCCAGUUUGAUAAAUUUCCAGGACGCCAACCCCGAGUGGAGCUAGGAGAGCUUGAAAGGAGGCGAGGUGAUUGAUGUGUUCCUCUUUGUUUUCACUGCAGCUGUGGCUGGGACGCGGCCGGGAUGUG